ACAUACCUACUCACUCACCAGCGUACCCCCAUGAUACGGCAGAAGCCGCCACCGUAGUGAAAACGGGAGAGAGGGAGGGUGGUGAGGCAACAGUGACAAAACCGUCUGUCUCUCCCUUGAGCACCACCGCCUCCUCGUCUCCCCCCUUCUGCCGUCUCCCUUCUCGUACGGCGAAUUGUGUUAUGUCUGCGUCUUUUUGCGCCUCCUCAUGAGCAUCCUCAUCGCUGCGUGCGAGCCCACCUCAUCUCGGCAACGCCCUAGACCCUGACCCACCCCACUCUUCCGAGCGCGAGAGGCUGACGAAACCCGAACAAGAAGCGCAUGCUUGUAUCGCAAGAGAGGUGCGCGGCGCGCAUCACCCUCGUCCCAUCUCUGUCGCCACGCUCUGCCCAACGCACACAAGCGCGCAUGCACAUGGACACGCCGGGACAAUGUCUUUUCUGUCUUGCGCUGCGCACCGGUGUCUCCCCUCCGUAUUCCUGCUUGAUGGAGUGGGUGUAUCUGUGUGUGUGUGUAUACCCCCAUGGUUUCGUGUGCGUAUGUGUGGCCCGUCCAUGUCUGUACCCCCUCCCCCACCCACCCACCCCAAAACGUGGCUUUCGGGCCGCUUUUCGUUGUUGUCUUUCCCCGACUCUGUUGUUGUGCUGCUCGUGCUGCUGUCCAUCUCAACUUUUUAUUCCCUGCUCUUCUCUGGCAUGUCGGUGGUCUUCCGGCCGCAGUCGCCACAUCCGCAGCCGCUGCAGAGGAGUCCCCGUCAUGCCGUGGCACUAUGCGCUUGGGUCUCUGUCUACGCGGUGGGGAGAAAGACGCAGCGAGCCCCGAGCGUGUUCGUUAACUACGUGCUCUUCACGCAUGCGUGUUCAUCGCGGGCAGAACGAGUCACAUCAGCGUCACGGCAUAUCGCUCACCCGACACGCACACACAUGUUUUUCCUCCGGUUGUCUCGCCCCUGUCCCUCUGCCUCUCGUCCCCUGAGCGGCGCUGGUCCUCGUCCCUCUGCUGCGCGGUGGUCUGUGUCCUUGUUUCGCCUCCUUUCUUGCGUUGUUGCCGUUGCAGCACACAUCUGUGUCUUCGUGCGUCUGUGCCGGCGCCAGUCUGAUCGAUUCCGACACCGAUGUUCUGUGUCGCCCUCUCGUGUGCACCACCCGCUCUCUGUUCCCGUGUGUCCAUGUGUGUGGGUAAGGGAGAGGGGACAAGGGGAAGAGGGCAGGGCAGGCGGCCACUGUCCCACCAUAGCCGCCACGCCUGCUCGCCUCUUUCGUCGCCCAUGCCUCGUCGCUGCGAUGUCCACGCGCGGCGCGCCUCCCCUUUUUGUCUCCAUUGUUUGUUAGCUUCCCACCCUUCUGGCCCCGUACAUCAACCCACAUACAUAUCCUCAUGACCGGUACAUACAAACAUACCCGCACACAGUGCGUGGCAUCUCGGGACCCGGUGCCCCCACUCUCUCCCCCUGCGGGGAGGCGGAGCGGCACCCCACCCCCUCUAGUCCUGCCCAAUGCGGAGCCGCUUCCGGUCGUGACAGGGUCAAGCGCCGACGCCGUAGGGGAGGUCAGAGCGAUGCAUCGCCACUGACGCCGGCGGCCAGGUCCUGGACGGCGCUGCGUCGGUGCGACCCGCGGCCGUGAACACGCUUGCGCCAUCCAUGUGAUGGGCAGCGUGUCGGCGUGACUCGAGCGUACCCCACACCCGGCCCCCACACUGCCCUGCUGGUGGUGGGGAGCCGGAGCCACCCCGAGGAGGAUGCAGCACGUGGCGACCGGCACGAUGGUAGCUGCUGUGAGGCCACCCGCGGGGCGGGUGGUGGGUGGGGCUUGAGGCAGGGGCUGUGCUCAGAUGACUGUGUCUGCGCACAGCCGUAGCGACGUGCCUGCCGCUGCUUCAGUUCACGCGCCUGAGGUCUGUGCCAGGGCCCGGGCCAGAGGGAGGGUAGAGUGCUGUGUAGCGCGUGCUCUACGGUCAGAGAAUGGUCACGUUGAACAAAAC
Molecule: unclassified non-coding RNA, 1983 nt
Filed under: Leishmania donovani
Lineage: Eukaryota; Euglenozoa; Kinetoplastea; Trypanosomatida; Trypanosomatidae
Description: gene:unknown
Source: RNAcentral